GCUUCUUUAGUAUCGAUCAGUACAAUUGACUUCCAAUCAAUAAGCUCCGGCGCAGUCCAGAAAGAAGCA
RNAcentral lists this transfer RNA (69 nucleotides) under Ursus arctos (brown bear). RNAcentral's name for it is "tRNA-Gly". Lineage: Eukaryota; Metazoa; Chordata; Mammalia; Carnivora; Ursidae. The record is from RNAcentral.